Long non-coding RNA from Triplophysa rosa, 325 nucleotides. RefSeq lists it as uncharacterized. The record is from RefSeq and is a predicted model, not a curated record. The transcript is spliced from 3 exons. NCBI's taxonomy places the organism in Eukaryota, Metazoa, Chordata, Actinopteri, Cypriniformes, Nemacheilidae.
CUACUUAUGAUAUAUACCGCCACACUGCCGACCUUAGAGACCUGUUUGCGUGUUGGUUGGAGCCGUGGGACUGUAUAUGGAUUGUUGUGUCCCAGGACUCCUCACUGCUGUCUCGAGAUUAAAGAAUUAAAAAGCAGACCGGGACGUGUUCGAAGUCAAGCUUUCAGCACAUUACACCCAUGCGGUUUCUUUGUGCAGUGUUUGCAUAUAUACUUGUACUUUAUGUAAUUUUGCAGGUGUAAAAUCUGUCAAAGUUUUUGUUUUGUGUAUAUUUUGCUAAUGUGAGUGUGUGCGUUUUUAAAAACCUUUUAUUAAACCAAUAUAA